GCGAGGCCCUCUUUAAGUACUUAUAUUAAAAUACUUAGAAUUCGGGACUUUCCAUUUAGCAAAUUUCACGACCACCCCCAAAAUUAAUAAUACGCUAGUUGCUUUAGGCCCGACAUUUAAUAAUAUUACCUUCUUAAACUCGAGUGCAUAUAUAUGUGACUCAAAUCUGAAUCCUAACGAAGUUAAAAUAUGUUAAAAACCAUGAGUACAUUUAUGUAACGUGGUUCGAACAUAAUUUCACGACAUUGCAAAUCUAUAUUAAAAAUAAUAGUAAAAGCGGUUUAAAAUUAAAAAGUACGUAAGUUAGAACAUGUUUUAAAAUACGAUAUUUAGUCAAAUAUGACAGUUGAGUGACCAUGCUAGAACCAUGGAACCCGAGAAUGCCUAACACCUUCUCCUGGGUUAACAGAAUUCCUUACUCGAAUUUUCGAUUCGUGGACUAUUAAAUAGAGUAAAUAGUUUCCUUAAUUCGGGAUUCAAUCGUUGACUUGGGACACCAUAAAUCUCCCAAGUGAAAACUCUGAAUUUUAAAUAAACAAUUCGCGUUUUGAUUGUCCUUUAAUUGAAAGAUCUCCUCCACGCCCUUCCGGGUGUAGUAAAAAAGGAGGUGUGACAUCUAGUACUCACAACGGCGUGCAGCCCGCACCAUUUAUUUAUCGUCGACGACACUUACUGGGAGUGUGCAGACUACGGGAGGGCCACUUAUGGCCCAAGCACAAUAUCAAGCCAUCCCAUGCCAUCUAUUAGGCCCUAAGCCUCAUAUC
RNAcentral lists this long non-coding RNA (764 nucleotides) under Nicotiana benthamiana. Its description in RNAcentral is "long non-coding RNA (NBEN_LNC021571)". The record is from RNAcentral. Lineage: Eukaryota; Viridiplantae; Streptophyta; Magnoliopsida; Solanales; Solanaceae.